This 404-nucleotide ribosomal RNA is filed under the name Actinomycetes bacterium. Its description in RNAcentral is "Actinobacteria bacterium partial 16S ribosomal RNA". It matches the Rfam family "Bacterial small subunit ribosomal RNA", at positions 355 to 776 of the family's 1533-position model. The record is from RNAcentral. Lineage: Bacteria; Bacillati; Actinomycetota; Actinomycetes.
UGGGGAAUAUUGGACAAUGGGCGCAAGCCUGAUCCAGCCAUGCCGCGUGAGUGAUGAAGGCCCUAGGGUUGUAAAGCUCUUUCACCGGUGAAGAUAAUGACGGUAACCGGAGAAGAAGCCCCGGCUAACUUCGUGCCAGCAGCCGCGGUAAUACGAAGGGGGCUAGCGUUGUUCGGAUUUACUGGGCGUAAAGCGCACGUAGGCGGACUAUUAAGUCAGGGGUGAAAUCCCGGGGCUCAACCCCGGAACUGCCUUUGAUACUGGUAGUCUUGAGUUCGAGAGAGGUGAGUUGAAUUCCGAGUGUAGAGGUGAAAUUCGUAGAUAUUCGGAGGAACACCAGUGGCGAAGGCGGCUCACUGGCUCGGUACUGACGCUGAGGUGCGAAAGCGUGGGGAGCAAACAGG